RNAcentral lists this transfer RNA (65 nucleotides) under Brachionus plicatilis. RNAcentral's name for it is "tRNA-Asp". The record is from RNAcentral. Lineage: Eukaryota; Metazoa; Rotifera; Eurotatoria; Ploima; Brachionidae.
AUUCCUAUAGUAUAUUCAAUAUCUUAGUUUGUCAUAUUAAAGAUCUCUUUUAAAGAGUAGGAAUU